This 472-nucleotide ribosomal RNA is filed under the name Stenomorpha gibbicollis. RNAcentral describes it as "eukaryotic LSU rRNA". The record is from RNAcentral. Lineage: Eukaryota; Metazoa; Arthropoda; Insecta; Coleoptera; Tenebrionidae.
AGAGUACGUGAAACCGUUCAGGGGUAAACCUGAGAAACCCGAAAGGUCGAAAGGGGAGAUUCAGCGUGUCUCGAUUGCGGCGCUGGAUAGUCGUGCGACGGAAGACGUACGCGUCAUCCGCACCUUCAGUCCUCCGAACCGUAGUCGAACGCGUGCACUUCUCCCCCUGUAGGACGUCGCGAUCCGUUGGGUGCCGGUCUAAGGCCCGCAGUGGAGCCCGUUCGGACGGUUCACCGUUCCGGACGAACCUGCGGUGUUUCCCGGUCGGCUCGCUCGACGGUAUACAGAUGGCGCGGGGCCGCUACACAUUAGUUAGCGUCCGACCGGCGGCAAGCGCGCUCGUCGUGACGGUGAUCGGACCUGGUGCCGGUCCUGUCCCCGAGUGGCUGUUCGCUGCCGUGUUCUCGGACAGACCUCGUCGAAACGCCGAUCUGCGACGCUAUAGCUUUGGGUACUUUCAGGACCCGUCUUG